CCUAUAAGACUGGGAUAACUUCGGGAAACCGGAGCUAAUGCCGGAUAACAUUUGGAACCGCAUGGUUCUAAAGUAAAAGAUGGUUUUGCUAUCACUUAUAGAUGGACCCGCGCCGUAUUAGCUAGUUGGUAAGGUAACGGCUUACCAAGGCAACGAUACGUAGCCGACCUGAGAGGGUGAUCGGCCACACUGGAACUGAGACACGGUCCAGACUCCUACGGGAGGCAGCAGUAGGGAAUCUUCCGCAAUGGACGAAAGUCUGGCGGAGCAACGCCGCGUGAGUGAUGAAGGUUUUCGGAUCGUAAAACUCUGUUAUUAGGGAAGAACAAAUGUGUAAGUAACUGUGCACAUCUUGACGGUACCUAAUCAGAAAGCCACGGCUAACUACGUGCCAGCAGCCGCGGUAAUACGUAGGUGGCAAGCGUUAUCCGGAAUUAUUGGGCGUAAAGCGCGCGUAGGCGGUUUCUUAAGUCUGAUGUGAAAGCCCACGGCUCAACCGUGGAGGGUCAUUGGAAACUGGGAAACUUGAGUACAGAAGAGGAAAGUGGAAUUCCAUGUGUAGCGGUGAAAUGCGCAGAGAUAUGGAGGAACACCAGUGGCGGAGGCGACUUUCUGGUCUGUAACUGACGCUGAUGUGCGAAAGCGUGGGGAUCAAACAGGAUUAGAUACCCUGGUAGUCCACGCCGUAAACGAUGAGUGCUAAGUGUUAGGGGGUUUUCCGCCCCUUAGUGCUGCAGCUAACGCAUUAAGCACUCCGCCUGGGGAGUACGACCGCAAGGUUGAAACUCAAA
This 791-nucleotide ribosomal RNA is filed under the name uncultured Staphylococcus sp. RNAcentral describes it as "bacterial SSU rRNA". It matches the Rfam family "Bacterial small subunit ribosomal RNA", at positions 129 to 905 of the family's 1533-position model. Lineage: Bacteria; Bacillati; Bacillota; Bacilli; Caryophanales; Staphylococcaceae. The record is from RNAcentral.